AGCAAUCCGUAGAGGUUGAUUCUAACGUCAGCUGCUGCUUAGAUUCAAACCCCCGCACCGAUAACUCCUGGAUUCAUCUGCGUGUUGUCAAACAUGUACAGCAUUAGUUUGAGAAUUCGCAGGGUGGCAGUUUCACUGAGGAUCCAGAAUGAUCCAGACGGCUGCUGUCUAUUUACGCACGACAACAUGAAGUACUGUUUAAAUGUACAAAAAUCUGAAGACAGACAAUGUGUAAGACUCAGUUGAAGAUUUUGACAAGCAGACAGCAUAAUAGCACCUUGGCUGACUGACAUUUACAUUACAUCAUCAUGGGGGAUGGGGAGGAAUAAAACUUUAUGCCAGCAAACGUUUUAAUAUGGAAUGGUUGGAAACACAAUCUGUGAGACAGCAAAGAAUGAAGGAGCAUCUAGAAAAAUAUAUUAUUAUCCUGCUGACUUGGUGAGAGUAAAAGAAUGAGCACUUGAGGAAAUGAGUUCCAAAGCUGGAAGAUGUAAAGAAUUGAAGGGAAAGUUGAGAUUGGCUGGGAAGUAAAUGAAGAGAGCUUUACCACUUGGCACCUCUGUAAACAACAAGAAAACAUUUCAAUCAAACGCCAUGGUAGGAACAAACAGCUCGCAACAAAAACAAAAGGAAACAUUCCAACUUGGCAAACAUAAAACAAACAAAAUAGUUUUGUUUCUUCAAAAACACGAAUGUGGCAAAACACAAGAAAAUGCAAAAAGGAAUCUUAGUAACAAGAAUACAAAGUUGAACUUUGUUCUAUUUUCUCUGUGGUGUGAAACAAUUAUGAAAAUGAACCUGUAUACGCCAACAGAAUUAGGACACUACUCUUGGACAUUCACUAGGCUACUUUGCAGCAUUUAUGUAUUUCACCAUAAGAUGUGUUUGGCCUAUCAGUGUUCAUGAUAAUUGAGAGUUUUAAUAAAUCUUGCCUUCAAAGAGCUAAUUGGGCUUCCCCAUCUUCCUUCCUCCCAUUUGUUCAUCACUUCAACACAACAUAAAGAUGAAUAAUUGUUGUGUUUUAAAUGUUCCCUAUGUGCUCUCAAAUUAAAUGAGUACUAUUAUUUUCCUCCAUAAACUUUCAGGAAAAAUAACUAAUGAAUUAAAAACAGACGAUUCUGGAAACACACAGCAGCUUGAUCAGCAUCUGGUGGGAUGUUUCUCACUAAAACUGCUUGGCUGAAAUGAAGGAUCCCAACUGAACAUUAACGUACCUUGCCUCUUUUAGCUGAUUGAGCUGCUGUGCUUCCCCAACAUUUUCUUAAAUAAAGUGCCUUAAGAUGCACUUGUUACCCGAUUACUCCAAAUUUAGGCUUAACAAAAGUUUCUGUAACAUGGAAUGUAAUCAAUCAUAUUUUUAAUGGAAGAGAGUGGACAGAAAAUGUAUUUUACAUUAGGCUGGCAUAUAACAUUGGACACAUAAUGACAGUGAAAGGCUUAUUAGACUUGCUAAUUAGUAUUGGUUGAUACAUAGUUCUUCAUGUGAGUAGUUCAUUAUGUCUUACUGGUGUCUGAUGUGUGCAAUAUUGAAGGUUAAUAUCACAUUUAAAUGAAAUUAAGAUCAGUUACCAGUACAAAUGCCAAACAAUGCUAUCCUAGAAAGUUAUAAAGUUCUUCAAUUGGAUAUCUUUGAGAUUAUCUUUUAAUAAUAAAGGUUGCGUUCACUUGUGCAUUGUGAACCUUUCAUUACUGGCAGUGUUAAGUGCAUUCAUAUUCUGUCAGUUCAAUGAACAGUUUAAGAACUGUACAGUACAGACCCUAUUAUGACCCUGUUUGCAGAGAAUUGGAUCUAACAUGAACAUGAGACGCUAAUUUGACCUCAUCUACUGCCUCUGAAGACCUGAUGCCUUGGGAGCAGGAGUUCGUCCUUAGCUGAGAAGACAAUACUGAAUGGACUGGCCAGAUCUAGUCAUGUGUUUGCUUUGGUAUAGUUUAGCACACUUUAGGUAGUUUUUAAACUAGUAACAUACAGCUAGCCUGAUUAUUUCAAUCAGUUUUACAUAAUCAGUUACUGCGCAGGCAAUAUAUCCAAUUUGAAGGAGCUAUUGGAAUGAUUGUCUUCAAUUUAGUACCUAAUUCAUAUCCGCAGCUGUGAAUGGAUAUGUAAUCUUAGUUCUAGAGAAUUUACAGUGUAUAUUACUGCUAAUUGGGAUUAGCAUUGAAUCAAUAAUGUUUGCUUAAUGCAAAUAAGUGGAUUAAAGAACAGUUUGCUUAA
Molecule: long non-coding RNA, 2215 nt
Organism: Carcharodon carcharias (great white shark)
Lineage: Eukaryota; Metazoa; Chordata; Chondrichthyes; Lamniformes; Lamnidae
Exons: 3
Source: RefSeq, a predicted model, not a curated record